This 17-nucleotide microRNA is filed under the name Corchorus capsularis. RNAcentral describes it as "sRNA CCACVL1_16181". Lineage: Eukaryota; Viridiplantae; Streptophyta; Magnoliopsida; Malvales; Malvaceae. The record is from RNAcentral.
GGUGGGGGCUGUUUUAU